Long non-coding RNA from Solea solea (common sole), 1797 nucleotides. RefSeq lists it as uncharacterized. The transcript is spliced from 4 exons. Lineage: Eukaryota; Metazoa; Chordata; Actinopteri; Pleuronectiformes; Soleidae. The record is from RefSeq and is a predicted model, not a curated record.
UUUCAAAGUUGGCGCCUCUUUCCAGUUCACUUGGUCCCGCCCAUAACGGCCAACCUGCACCUUUAGGCCUGUCACGAAUCGUGAACGUGAAAGACGUGAACGUGAAAGACGUGCCCUCGUGGACGCAUGAUCUUCAAGGAUGUAUACAGCUGUAGCUGAGGACGCGGUUUGAGGAAGAAAAGUGGCACAUUGUUGGCUUUGCCAGCAAUGCUCAGUGGCUUGUGGAUCACAAGGCAGACAUGUACUGCUGUAAUUGUGCCAACCUGAACACUGAUGGUACCUGCUGUAGAAUGAGUCAGCUGGACAAGAAAACGGACACUCCUCGACGCUUCACUGAGUUUCACUCCUUCUCGGCUGCUGUGAAAGGAGCUGGUGAGGAGCAGGAGGACAUGUGUCGCAAGUAUCCCUGGAAGGACACGUCCUCCUGCAAACAGAGAGGACGCAAUACUUAUGAGACAUCCAGAGACAGAGACGGUUCAGCAUCAAGUUUUCUUUCUCUGACCUCGACUGUGCCAAACAGCUCGUCUCUGAUGUGACCUCCUCCAAACUCCUUCUUCAGUGUGGCACGUGUUGCUGCGUACAUCAUCUUUUGCCUCACCUAGACGACAUCGCAGCAGACAGGAGGACACGUGAUGUUUGUCAGUAUCUCGUUUUAGUUUAAUAGUCUCUUCAUUCUUGCAGACAAACACGUUGGUUUCUGUUUAUUUACAAAAACCUUAAUUGGUAAAACGCCCUCUUAUUAUCGCUCAUUACUCAACAUCCCUAACACCAGUUUGAUUCCAGCAGCUUUAUUAACUUCCUCAUCCCCAAAGUCUGCAUCACUUUGAGUUCUGCCGCAGGUGCAUCCAUGGUAAAUUGCCCUGGGAAUAAUACACGACUCCUUAUAUGGACAUCCUGGGGGGGGUAUUUAUAGGUCACAUAUUCAGGCUUUAAAAAAAAUGCAUUUUUUUCAUCGUUGUUGAUUCAAAGUUCUGAUUCAUUUUAUAGUCAUAGUGAUAUAAAGUAGCAAUAAUUGUCCAGAAGUCACAAAAUAGACUGUUUUUCUUUUCAAAGUGAACUUUGAACUGUGACGUGUUUCCAAAUCUCACAAAUUCAAUCUGAUUUUAAACCAUGCAGUUUUAUAAUAACUUUGCUUUGACGCAUGACUCAGCAUCUCAUAGACAUACUGGUGAUUGGUCAGGUGACCAGGCAAUGAAGAUCCACUCGUGUCCCUGUGCAUUCUGGGAGUCUAGACGAUAGAGGAUGUAGCACGGCUCUUGGGGCUGGAGCAGAGGAAGCAGGCACUGGUCGUAGUCUUGGUCCCAGCUGUGUGCAGGCUCUCUGGACGAGUCCAGCACCAACUCCUCUGCAGACAGACACGCGCGUCAGUUUAAACGCAGAACAAGUCAACGCUGUGUUUGAAAUGUAAAAAUGAAAUAUUUACCAUUUCUGAUGACAAUCUUCAUUAUUCUGAUGGCACCUCCCUUCGCCCCGGCCAGAAACUGUUUCAGCUCAGAUGUUGCUAAAGUAACGAGAUAUGAGGCAGACCAGUCAAAACUGAGGAUGGGGGGGUGGGGGGAGGUUGACAGCAAGUGAGACAGAGUUGGGUAAGUCAGAACCUGAGACUCCACUUCAGGGAGACAACUUGAUCCGCUGCCAGGUAGUCACGCUAUCACCUGAACUGACUUACACAGGGGACUGAUGAAGGACACAAGGGGAGUGUUGUGGAUUAAACACAACCAUCAAUACCCAGUUUCAAUAUCCCAGAGGGGCAAUUUGGUCGUAAAAACUAACUUAUUGAUCCCCCUCCCUCCCUCC